CACGUAGGUGGGUCGUUAAGUCAGGGGUGAAAUCCCGGAGCUCAACUCCGGAACUGCCUUUGAUACUGGCGACCUUCGAGUCCGGGAGAGGUGAGUGGAAUUCCGCGUGUAGCAGUGAAAUGCGUAGAUAUGCGGAGGAACACCGAUGGCGAAGGCAAUCCCCUGGGCCUGUACUGACGCUCAUGCACGAAAGCGUGGGGAGCAAACA
RNAcentral lists this ribosomal RNA (208 nucleotides) under uncultured bacterium. Its description in RNAcentral is "partial 16S ribosomal RNA". It matches the Rfam family "Bacterial small subunit ribosomal RNA", at positions 568 to 774 of the family's 1533-position model. The record is from RNAcentral.